UGCCAGCCGCCGCGGUAAUACGGAGGGGGUUAGCGUUGUUCGGAAUUACUGGGCGUAAAGGGCGCGCAGGCGGCGACUUAAGUCGGGUGUGAAAUCCCGGGGCUCAACCCCGGAACUGCCUCUAAUACUGCUAGUCUUGAGUUCGAGAGAGGUGAGUGGAAUUCCGAGUGUAGAGGUGAAAUUCGUAGAUAUUCGGAGGAACACCAGUGGCGAAGGCGGCUCACUGGCUCGAUACUGACGCUGAGGUGCGAAAGCGUGGGGAGCAAACAGGAUUAGAUA
RNAcentral lists this ribosomal RNA (279 nucleotides) under uncultured bacterium. Its description in RNAcentral is "partial 16S ribosomal RNA". It matches the Rfam family "Bacterial small subunit ribosomal RNA", at positions 506 to 784 of the family's 1533-position model. The record is from RNAcentral.